Long non-coding RNA from Sander lucioperca (pikeperch), 249 nucleotides. RefSeq lists it as uncharacterized. The transcript has 2 exons. Lineage: Eukaryota; Metazoa; Chordata; Actinopteri; Perciformes; Percidae. The record is from RefSeq and is a predicted model, not a curated record.
CCUCAAUGUCAUCAACAUAUUAAAAUAUUAUAACAAUCUUAGAGUGCAACUUCUAAUAUUCAUUCAAGUGUUCUCAGCAUCACUGAGAGGGAUGACUGGGCAUUUUCCAGCAGGAUUGCAUAAAAAAGGAGGCAGACAAGACUUCCUUUCCAUUGUGUUCCUUUAUUACCAUAUUUGUGAAGAUAACUUAAUCAGGAAGCAAAAAAAUAUACCAGACAAUAAAGUACUAAAAAUCUGAGAUAGAAAUAA